Molecule: ribosomal RNA, 487 nt
Filed under: uncultured bacterium
Lineage: Bacteria
Description: bacterial SSU rRNA
Rfam family: Bacterial small subunit ribosomal RNA
Source: RNAcentral
AUUGAACGCUGGCGGCAUGCUUUACACAUGCAAGUCGAACGGCAGCGGCGGGGGCAACCCUGGCGGCGAGUGGCGAACGGGUGAGUAAUGCAUCGGAACGUAUCCUGUAAGUGGGGGAUAACGUAGCGAAAGUUACGCUAAUACCGCAUACGCUCGAGAGAGGAAAGUGGGGGAUCGCAAGACCUCACGUUAUAGGAGCGGCCGAUGUCCGAUUAGCUAGUUGGUGGGGUAAAGGCCUACCAAGGCGACGAUCGGUAGCUGGUCUGAGAGGAUGAUCAGCCACACUGGGACUGAGACACGGCCCAGACUCCUACGGGAGGCAGCAGUGGGGAAUUUUGGACAAUGGGCGAAAGCCUGAUCCAGCCAUGCCGCGUGCGGGAAGAAGGCCUUCGGGUUGUAAACCGCUUUAGUCCGGGAAAAAGGGGUGCGAGGAUAAUACCCUCGUGCUUUGAUGGUACUGGAAGAAUAAGCACCGGCUAACUACGUG